Molecule: transfer RNA, 74 nt
Filed under: bacterium
Lineage: Bacteria
Description: tRNA-Lys
Rfam family: tRNA
About the family: Transfer RNA (tRNA) molecules are approximately 80 nucleotides in length. Their secondary structure includes four short double-helical elements and three loops (D, anti-codon, and T loops).
Source: RNAcentral
GGGUCGCUAGCUCAAUUCGGCAGAGCAACGGACUCUUAAUCCGCAGGUUCCGGGUUCGAGUCCCGGGCGACCCA